Long non-coding RNA from Monodelphis domestica (gray short-tailed opossum), 1748 nucleotides. Lineage: Eukaryota; Metazoa; Chordata; Mammalia; Didelphimorphia; Didelphidae. The record is from Ensembl.
CUUGUUUAAAGCUUAGCACUGUGUGUUGUCUGGCUAUUCCUUGCCUUUUUCUAAUGAACCUGGAUCAAGAAAAUAAAAGUAGAAAAAUUCAUUAUCAUGCAAGAAUCCUUACUAAUUGGAUCCUUGAAAGUAGCAACACAGGUUAUUUCACAAAAAUAUAGUGAUUGUACUAUGUCAUUUUGUAAUUAAUCAAUCAUUAUUCAUUAAGCACCUACAAUAUACAAUACCAGGCACUGUGGUGCCAAGAGCUGGAGAUACAAAAUAGCCAGAAUACAGUUCCUGUUCUCAAGGAGUUUAUAAUCCAGUGAAGGUGACAACAUGCAAACAUAUAUACCAAACAACUAAUAUAGAGGAUAAAGAGGAAAUUAGUGACAGAAGGAAGGCAUGAGCAUUAAAUGGAGGUAAAGACGACUUCUAGUAAAAGACUGGAUUUUUUUUUUUUUGACUUAAAGGAAACCAGAGAAUUUGGGAAUGUAAAAUUGAGAUUUGAACUCUGGACUCCAUUCCCCAGGAGUCCUUGCUAGCUCCCAGAAUGCCCUCUAAUCUCACUGAAUUCUCAAAUGGGCUGAGAGCAAAAUGAUUAUUCAGAGGGUCUCCGCCCACAGUGGGCGCUCUUCUCUUCUUGGCUCCUCUGGCAAACAAAUGCGUCUCAUGAUAUCCUUCAAUUGGCUCCCAGCCUCCAUAUGCCAUAUCUCCUGGCCUCCUGGCUUCUGUGACUUCUGUGCCACCAUGCUGACUGACCCAGGCAUGUGAUUUUGUGAUUCCUAUGUUCACCCACUAUGGAAUCAGCAGGAGUGAAUGGGGACAUUCAGUGAGCUGCGAGUUCAGAUCCUCAAAGGUGAAAAGAAGAAUGACAGUGGUAAGAAGAAUGAAACAGAUACUGCAGUAUCAAGAGGGAGGAUCAAAGAAGCUGAUGGCAAUCAAGGGCUAUUUUAUUGAGGGUAAUCUCAGUUUUUAUAGGGGGAGAAAAACAAGCUGAAGCUUUGACACACACUUUCCACAUCCAUAGUAAAAUGCAAUGAUUAACAGAGAGACCUUAAGUGAUCACAGUAUACCCUGUCAUACAUUAGUGAUUUAUCAGAUAUAUGUUUUGCAAGAGUCUGAGAGAUGGGAGAAUUUCCAUAGAUUACUUUCUACAUACAUAGAGUUUCCCUGAUUUAUAUGAUACAUACAUAAGAGUUUGUUUAUGUUAUCUACACUUUUAGUGGUUUCUAGGGGUAUUGGACACAAACAUGCCCUUGGUGGAGGAGAGAUAGGAGGGGAAAUGUGACUGGGGAUAUUCUGCUCUAUGGACUUGAGCCUUGUUUGAGGGUCUCUUGACCCAAGCUUUGCUUGGGGAUCUCAGCCUGCUAUAAGCAGGGUUCCAAAGAUAUCUAUUAAUGCUUCCUAUAAAUUACAUUUAUACAACUCAGAUGAACACAAACAUCUACAUGUUCAGCACAUGAAUUUUCCCUUGAAUUGUGGUGGAACCAUUUUGAACAAACUCAAGAGAAAAAAAUUGUUAAAUUUUCAUAGUGAGCAUUUAUACCUCAGAAAUAGGCAAACACUACAAAUCAGGGUUUGAUUUUUUAAAGUUGCCUAGGCUUAAGAAAAUGAUGAAAAAAUGUUAAUAAUUAAAUGCAAAACUACAUCAUACAUGGAUUUUCUCUCCACCCCCCCCCAGUGCUGGUUUUACCAACAUACCAUUGAUUCUUUGUCACUGGACAUAUUCAAAUAAAGACUGAACAAUCAUUUUAUGUAUAUUUUAU